This 148-nucleotide non-coding RNA is filed under the name Homo sapiens (human). Lineage: Eukaryota; Metazoa; Chordata; Mammalia; Primates; Hominidae. The record is from Rfam by way of RNAcentral.
GCUGGGCAUGGUGGCGCAGGCCUGUAAUCCCAGCUACUCAGGAAGCUGAGGCAGGAGAAUUGCUUGAACCCAGGAGGCGGAGGUUGCAGUUAGCCGAGAUUGCGCCACUGCACUCCAGCCUGGGUGACACAGCAAGACUCCGUCUCAA